UGUACUGUUGCUGGACUUUCAUUGU
RNAcentral lists this non-coding RNA (25 nucleotides) under Rattus norvegicus (Norway rat). The record is from RNAcentral. Lineage: Eukaryota; Metazoa; Chordata; Mammalia; Rodentia; Muridae.